UCAUCUUCUUCUCGACGUUGACCAG
Molecule: non-coding RNA, 25 nt
Filed under: Drosophila melanogaster (fruit fly)
Lineage: Eukaryota; Metazoa; Arthropoda; Insecta; Diptera; Drosophilidae
Source: RNAcentral